Molecule: ribosomal RNA, 478 nt
Filed under: uncultured bacterium
Lineage: Bacteria
Description: bacterial SSU rRNA
Rfam family: Bacterial small subunit ribosomal RNA
Source: RNAcentral
UAACACAUGCAAGUCGAGCGGCAGCGACAUAAACAAUCCUUCGGGUGCGCUUAUGGGCGCGAGCGGCGGACGGGUGAGUAAUGCCUAGGAAAUUGCCCUGAUGUGGGGGAUAACCAUUGGAAACGAUGGCUAAUACCGCAUGAUGCCUACGGGCCAAAGAGGGGGACCUUCGGGCCUCUCGCGUCAGGAUAUGCCUAGGUGGGAUUAGCUAGUUGGUGAGGUAAGGGCUCACCAAGGCGACGAUCCCUAGCUGGUCUGAGAGGAUGAUCAGCCACACUGGAACUGAGACACGGUCCAGACUCCUACGGGAGGCAGCAGUGGGGAAUAUUGCACAAUGGGCGCGAGCCUGAUGCAGCCAUGCCGCGUGUAUGAAGAAGGCCUUCGGGUUGUAAAGUACUUUCAGUCGUGAGGAAGGUUCAUACGUUAAUAGCGUAUGGAUUUGACGUUAGCGACAGAAGAAGCACCGGCUAACUCCGUG